This 361-nucleotide RNase MRP RNA is filed under the name Collybiopsis luxurians FD-317 M1. RNAcentral describes it as "Gymnopus luxurians FD-317 M1 RNase MRP". It matches the Rfam family "RNase MRP". Rfam says of the family: RNase MRP is an enzymatically active ribonucleoprotein with two distinct roles in eukaryotes. Lineage: Eukaryota; Fungi; Basidiomycota; Agaricomycetes; Agaricales; Omphalotaceae. The record is from Rfam by way of RNAcentral.
UCGCCGUUUGAAGAAUCGUUUUCGCAGCUUCCGUACAGAGACUUUGUAGUCUCGUUCUUCGCUGUGGGGAAAGUCCCCGGAGAUGCAGAGUUUCCUCGUCCAGUAAAUGGAAAGCAGCGUCCCCAAGCACGACGUUCUGGUUCGAGGAUGGCUUGAAGCUUUUUAGAGCUUUUGUCUCCCUCGUUCCGACGGAGGGAAAGCUACCUUCUAAUGCCGCUCUGUCGACCUCAUUCCAUGCAAGGACGCAAAGAUACGAGCGCAGUGGAUGGGAUGGUGGUCAAUCCGUUGCUCAUAGAUAUAGUUAUACGAUUGUCGACUUUUCGCAAGUCUUCCACUCAAUGGGGCUCACUCUCUUUCGGCG